Molecule: long non-coding RNA, 936 nt
Organism: Cavia porcellus (domestic guinea pig)
Lineage: Eukaryota; Metazoa; Chordata; Mammalia; Rodentia; Caviidae
Exons: 3
Source: RefSeq, a predicted model, not a curated record
GGUGUGAUGAGUGCUUUUGUCUGGAGCCACUCCCCUGAGAACAGUGAAAGGUUACCGGCCUUUUUUCUGUGCAAAACUGGGUGCUGCUGAAUACCUUUAACUGCCGCUGUGACAUCAAGCCGUCUAGUGACUGGAACGCCUAUUUCCUUGUAUACAGUGUUUGAUGAUGGUUCCGGACCGUGGUUGGCAUCUCACACACUGGCGGAUAUUUGCACACCCGCAAAGGGCGAUUCUUUAGGAAAGAUGCACUACUAUGCAGUGCCUGACCUCGCGUGGUAGCGACUCAUCAAGCCGCCUGAAUUCCCGCCGCUUCAUGCAGUCCCACUGAAGUCAGAGGUUGGCAAGCCCAACAGAGAAUGGAGCCAGUAAGGGACCUGCAUUGACCUGUGGUGAGUGCUGGGAAUAAGACCCUCCCAUGGAAAAGUGAAAGGAUAGAAAUACAUGUUGAGACUCCUGCAUGCUUGCAACCUAUCAAGUUCACGAGAACUGAUCUUGUAAUGCUUGAUGCAGUGAACAACUACUGUGAAGAAAAAAAAGACACUACAGUAUCCAGUGCUGAUUCCGUAGUGUCAUGAUGUGAAAUCCAGCAAUACUAUUAUUCUUUGUUCAGAGUGUUUUUAGCCUGCUUUGGUUUGUUUAAUCUUAAUAUAAAUGAAGGUACGAGUAACUGCAUGUAUGUUUAAGUGUAUAGGAUUGAUAACCAUAUUACUAAGUUUUUGUUGGAUAGCUGAACUGAACUGUUGGCAGUCUCAUUUGAAUCCCCACUUUGUAUGCUUUACUUUUGUAACUUGAACAACUAUUUGUAAGAGGAUAAUAUGUAAUCAUCAACUAGUGAUUUCUUACCAUUUAUUUUUACUUUGAAAGUAUGUAUUAUUUCUACCCUUUUUCUGUUUUGUUUAGUCUUUCUUUAAAUAAAUAAAAUUGUUUAAAAACUAA